RNAcentral lists this ribosomal RNA (233 nucleotides) under uncultured bacterium. RNAcentral describes it as "partial 16S ribosomal RNA". It matches the Rfam family "Bacterial small subunit ribosomal RNA", at positions 102 to 334 of the family's 1533-position model. The record is from RNAcentral.
CACGGGUGAGUAACACGUAUCCAACCUGCCGUCUACUCUUGGACAGCCUUCUGAAAGGAAGAUUAAUACAAGAUGGCAUCAUGAGUCCGCAUGUUCACAUGAUUAAAGGUAUUCCGGUAGACGAUGGGGAUGCGUUCCAUUAGAUAGUAGGCGGGGUAACGGCCCACCAAGACUACGAUGGAUAGGGGUUCUGAGAGGAAGGUCCCCCACAUUGGAACUGAGACACGGUCCAA